CCCCGAAGCAGGAGCGGCGACGGCGUCCGGAGCAGCAGCGGGCGGAGGAGCGCGAGGCGGAGCGCGAGGCCAGGAAGGUCAGCAGGAGCAUCGACCGCAUGCUGCGCCAGCAGAAGCGCGACCUGCAGCAGACGCACCGGCUCCUGCUGCUGGGUUUUCACCAUACAAAGCAAUUCAAUGUGCCAAAGAGAACCAGUGGGACACCAAGGGGGACGACACACCAGAGUUCCAGCAGAACUCCCAGUAGGGGCCCAGGAAUACUGUGGGUCAGGGUAUCAGGGCAAAGGGAGGGGGUGGCCGGUGACCAAGUGGUGACGCCAGUUUCCCCCGCAUGAAUCCACCCCUGUCCUGCUAACCCACAGAUGCCAAGGGCUGGCUCCAUGCCUGGCCACCCACCAGCGCCCUCCCCAGUCCCUGGAACCAGCCUGGUGGCCUGUGGUGGGGUCUUC
Molecule: long non-coding RNA, 449 nt
Filed under: Vulpes vulpes (red fox)
Lineage: Eukaryota; Metazoa; Chordata; Mammalia; Carnivora; Canidae
Description: lncRNA (ENSVVUG00000013482.1)
Source: RNAcentral